UAGCUAGUUUUUUUGUUUAUUAAAUUUUGUAUGUUCGGGACAGUCACAAAGUACUACUUGUUCUAUAAGGGGGUGAUGUGAAUCAACUUUUCAAUUAUAUAUUCUGUGGUAAUUGUGAAUUCAAUUUCAUUUGUCUCCUGCAAAUUAUGAAGAAAGUGCAGAGUUACAAUAUGGAAAAGUUCACUGGCAAAUACUUUGUAAAAGCUUCGGAGUGAAACAUGGAACGCACUAGCAACUAAGGACAAAUUGGUGGCCAGCUAAUGCAUUCAUUUUAUGUACAUUCAUCUUUUUAAUUAUUGAAGAUAAGUGGUUCGUCGCUUUUGUUGUAGAUAAAAUUCAGACGAUCUCCAUUGUGAAAUGAUAAUAUUUAAAAUAUCUCUUAAAUUAUAAUAAACUUUAAUUUAUCUUAAUUUUAUUUAAAAGAUAAAAGAAAAAUGUGGUAUAUCGAUAAUUUUUUUAUCUUCUUAAUAAAACGAAGUAAAUUAAAAUUUAUAAUAAUUUAAAAUAUUUUAAAGAUUAUUAUUUCAUAAGAGAGUAAUAUGAAAUUAAUCCUUUUUACUUUUUGAAUGUGAAAGAUCAAGAAAAGAGAAAGUAAGUGUCCUUGCUUUUUAUUUUAAUUGAAAUCGGAGUCAUGUCCUUGCUUUUUAUUUUAAUUGAAAUCGGAGUCAUCCCAUAUACUUUACUCCUUUAGCUCUCUCCUCAAGGUGAGAUGCGUGUGUUGGGUGAAGAUUUGGUGAGUGUUGUGAUAUGCGUGCUACUUUGAGAAUUUAUAGAUAGCACAAAACGCAGCGUUCUGUGUUAAUUGUGGUUCUUACUGUGGUAAGAAUCUCAUUUUCUUAUUUCAACAGGUUUACCAGAAGAAAAAUCCCUUAGAUCACAUCACUGCCUUUUCUCUCAUUUUCUCUCUCUAUAUUUUCUAAUACAUUCUACAUAUUUUUCAUGUCCUCACAUACUUGUAUUUCAAAUGCAAUAGAUGUGUUUAUAUAGAGGCUAAUGAGAGUGAUUAAAGUUAACUAAAAAACUUCUAUGUAAAAUAAACUUCUAUGUGUUUAAAACCAAUAAAAUAGUAAGUAUAGCAGCCCUUUUUACAGUAAUGAAGUGAAAAUUAAUUUAGCAAGAUAUUUUCUUAAUUUAUACUUUCUUUUUGAAGUUUUUAUUUUCUAUGGUCAAUUAUACCCUUUACAAUUUCUUUUGAUCUAACUACAACUAAAUUUUUGGUUUAAGGAUUCUUAUUUGGGAGUAUUAAUAUGUGAGCGAAAGCUUGGAUACUGCUCCAGGAUAUCUAAUCAAUAGCUGGAAACAAUCGAGAAGGCGGUCACAGCUGUGCACAAACAGCUUUGGUAAAAUUUUUAAACAAAGUUGACAUGCUAUUCUGAGAUUUGGUUCAUUACUUUGUAUGAUUUUUUCUCAAGCAUGUUAUGCCGAAAUGAACAAUUAAAAAAAAGAAGGAAAAGUUAGGGUAAAAUUUUUACUAAAUCAUUUUUUAUUAACUAUUUAUAUUAAACAAAUGGAACAAGAAUUGUAGUCAUUCGUCAUAAGCAUGCUAAUAUGAUAAUUCUCUGACUACCAUUUUCUAUUUACCCCUUUUGCAGCAGGGAAUCCAAAUUUUGAAUUGUCCAAUGAUCCACAAUCAAUCCAAUGGUCCAAAACUUUUGGUCGUUAUGCGAAAAUUUUUCCCAAUUUUGGGCCAAUAUUCUAACAAGUUUUAUUGAAGGGCUGGACUAUUGGCACCACUCUAAAAUUUCCUUAAAACCCCUUUUCUAUUACAAUUACAUUUAAAGAUAAAAAUAAUUACCAAUUCAUCUAUUUUAAUAUUUUAUCCCCCUUCAAACUUUUCUAUUUUCUUCUCAUCAAAAUUUUUCCCUCAAAUUCUCUGUAUUUUUUGUUUUAUUCAUUUAUUAACAUAUUCUUUUUAUAACAAAUCCAAUUUUUCAAGCAAAAUUAUAGUACAAUAUUGAUUGUUGUUUGCUUUAUUAGAAGGGACUUUUUAGCUGAGGAAAUAAAAACUGUAUAUUUGGUUUCUUCUAACUGCUCGUUGACGAUAGUCACGGCAUCCUGCACAUUUCUAAUGACUUCCUUUAGUAUGUUCUGCUUCUACCUCAUUAGUUCCAAAUAGCUUCUGUUAUCCCAUGCGUACUUCUUAAAAAUAACUUCUGCUAUUUUUUUAAUUAAUUAUUUGAAUCUUGGAGUUUUCUUUUUUAUCUUUUCCACAAUUUUUCAUUCGGAUUUAUUCAUAAUCGUACUAAAAUUUUUUACAUUAUAAUUCUAAAGAUAUUGAAUCUAAUUCACUAAUUUGUAUUAAGAAGUUUAUCGCAUAAAUUUUGUGCGGAGAUUGAUAUAAUAAGACUCUAAAAUAAUUUUAGAACCAAGAAAAUAUUAAGAAAUCGAAAGAUUGACAAAUUAGAAAUAAGGGUAAUUCUGACAUUAAAUGAAAUAUUAGGGACAAAGGAGUUUUUAGAGGAUUUUAAUGGGGUGCCAAUAGUUCAACUCUUUAUUGAAAUAAAAGGGAGAAGAUCGUUAAAUUGAAAAGUCCAUUUUAUUAUCAAGUGUUUUAAAUUAGUGCAACGUGACAAUUUUUACAGAUGAUAUCUUCUAUGUUUUUCAUAUAAAAUUAAUGUUAUUUUACUUACAAAUAUAAACUCCUAAAUAUUUGUAGUAGAUUUGAAGUUGAGCCCAUGAAACGGUAAUGAGGAAUUAAUGAGACUGAGGAUCUGCAAUUUAGUCAUGAAAAAUUUGUAAUUAAGCACGACUAAAUUUCAAUUUUCUCUUUGUAAUUUCUUUGGGUGCCUGAAAUUUUUUCUCCCCUAAUUUUCUGAUUACAAGUGUAUAAUUGUAAGUGCAGCCAAUUUUAUUUUCAGGGAAUACUAUUGGACUGUGUGGCUAUAUAUAUAUACACACACACGAAAAAUGUUUCAAUUCGGAAUUUUAAAGUGCAGGAACGCCCGAGAAAACGCAUAAACCGUGCAGUUUAAACGCUUUAAGUUUUAAGCCUUUAAAACCCCGCAGUUUUAAAGUUUUUCUAGAUGUUUCCCGCACUUUAUGAUCUGCUUGGUGAAAAGUUUUUUAAUCUGAGCUUAGAAUCUAGGAUUAAAAUUAUGGAAAAAUUUAAGUAUUACACACACACACACACUAUUCGGUCUUUUUUUUUUUAAUAUGAGUUUAGAUGUAGAAUUAAAGUUCGAAAUGAAUUUACUGUGUUAUAAAUCAAUUUUUACAAUGUUGUAAACUGAUUUAUGAUAUUAUAAAUCCAUCUUAAAUUUUAAUCUCAGAUUCUGAGUUUGGAUCUAAUAAACACUCUCUCCGAUUAUGUUGUCUAUAAUUUUGCAUUCAAAGAAACUUCACGAAAAAUAUAAUAUCAUGUGUAGCCCUAGAAACUUUAAUAACAAUAAAAAAGAUAUCAUAAGAAAAGAAACUCAUAAUUGUUCAGAUAUUUAUAAAUUGGUGGCCGUUGGAAAUUUAACUGUCAGUGCCAAUCCGAGAAAAGUCGUCGUGCACAAAAGACUUUUAGCCAUACGUUCUUCCAAGUCAAAUGAGACAGGGGAUGUACAAAGAAUAAGACAUGUCAUUCAUUGUUUGUUUGCUGCAUUCCCUCUCAUUUUCUUAAUUAUUGAAGACAGGUUGCUCAUAGCAUGUACUUUUCAAAUGUGGAACCACAGCUAAUGUCACUAUUUUAAUUUGGAAUUAAAUUAGGGCCCAUGUAUAAAAUUUAUUACAUUAUAUUGCAGUGUGAAGUACUAGGGGUGUUCGCGGAUCGGAUUUUACGGAUUGGACAUCGAUCCAUAUCCGAUCCAUGAUUUUGCGGAUUAUAAUUUUUCAAUCUAAUCCAAUCCACGGAUUGAUAAAAUUCAAUCCAAAUCCAAUCCAUACAUCUGCGGAUCGGAUGCGGAUUUGACUCAAUCCAUAUGCAAUCCACCAUUUUCCGCAUUAGUUUUCGAAUUAAAAAUUUUUAGUUCUCUCCAACUAAUGAAAUAAAAAAAUCUAAUAUAAAAUAAUUUUGCUACCAAUUAAAUUUAAAAUUGAAUAAAAUUUAAAUAAAUUAAUUGUUUAAAUAAAGCUAAAAUAAUACAUUUAAAGUUUUAAAAUAUAACACAUCGAGACUAAUUAUUCAAAUAAAGCUACAAUAAUACGUUCAAAGUUUCAAAAUAUAACACACCAAGCUUAAUUGUUCAAAUAAAGUUACAAUAAUACGUUAAUAUAACACCGAAAUUAAUUGUUCAAAUAAAGCCACAAUUAAUUGAAAUGGCGAAGUUUCGGAAACCAAACACAGUCUGAUCCUUCACCAGGGCUGUUGCGCCUGUCAAAAAGUGGUGAUUACGGAGCCAUCCACGAUGAGAACUAGGAGAAGUCGUACGGGUGGCGAUCUUGAAGGUUGUGAUAGUGAAAUUGUUCAGUUGGGACCAGUGAAUGUGAAGUGACUCGAUGGACUUGGGAAAGAAGAUGGCUUGCUCUUGUCGGAAUCGCGCAGCCGAUGUCCUUUAAAUCCGCGUCGAGAGUGUAUCCAACCAGUAUUGAGUGUUGCUAGUGUGUGUGAUAGCGGGGAAGCUUAGGGUUUUUUGUUUGCAAAUUGUUGGUGACUUGGCGUUAUGUUACUUUGCUUUUGCUAGUGCGUGUGACUUUGCCUUUAUUUUGUUUUACAAUUUUUACAAGUUAUAUUUGUAUAUUUGAUUAUUUAAUUAUUUUUCAUUUUAUAUUAUUAUUGGGUAAAUGCUAAGAUAUGUUAUAGUGCUUAGUAACUAUGCAAUGUCACAUUUAUAAUUUUUUUUAAUUAAAUUUAUAAUAAUUUUUUAAUAUUAUAUAUAUAUAUAUAUAUAUAUAUAUAUAUUUUUUUUUUUUUUUUUUUUUUUGCGGAUUUACGGAUUUCUGCGGAUUUACAGAAGUAAAUCCAUAUCCAAUCCAUUGACUGCGGAUUUUUAAAUUUUCAAUCCAUAUCUAAUCCACCAAUCCACGGAUCGGAUUUAUACGAAUCAGAUUGAGCGGAUCGGACGAAUUGAGCGGAUCGGAUUGGAUUCUGAACUCCCCUAGUGUGAACUAACUUUUAUGUUUAUCUAAACACCUUAAAUUUAAGGCAAAUUAUGGCAUAAAUAAGAAUUAUAACAGAACACUUAUGAUGUAUAGCAAAAGAGUUGUGAUGAAGAUCUUGAAGAAAUAUAAUAUUAGCGCCGAGUUAAGUAACUAAGAACACCCCUGAACUGAAUAAUGGUCAUCAAAAUUGUGUUACUUGCACUUCUAUUUACUAAAAGUUUGGUUAUGUUCCAUUUGAGUUUUUAUCUUCAAAUUUCAAAAUCUUGCUAAGUUUUGACAAUCACAAAGGCUCAGUUUGCUUGUUCUAUAUUUGUAUGAUACGAAUCCAAAUUUUUGUGAUCUAUUUCCUCAAUUUUGAAUACAAAUUCUUUUCUUCUCCUGCGAACCAGAAAGAAAUGUUGUAUUAAAAAAAUGGAAAUAACUUCAUGACAACAAAAAUUAGGAAAAAUAAUAUAAACCAAAUUAGGAUAAAUAAUAUCAUUUUCUAGAGAAGCAGGCAAAAAUGGAAAAUGAUAUUUCAAUUCUUCAAGAUCCCAAAUCUCUGUUUCUAAAUUUUCUUUCAUUUUGCUUCUCGCAUAGAAUCAUUUGGUAUUAAUAAAAUUUUUACUUAUUAAACAAAAGUUAAAAAAAAAAAUUCUAUUCCUGCUGUUAAUCUAUGAAUGGUUUCAUUGUUGGAGUUUCUUUCAGAAGACAAGAAUACUUUGGUUAAGUGUUUGGCUAAGUACUAAAUUAGAGGUUGUUAGAGAGAAGAAAUUAAAAAAAAAAUCCUAACCCUUUAUUCAGUGUUUAAUCAGCAAAUAUUCAACUCAACAUGAAUCUUAAUCAUCUUUAAAAAAAUAUUUUAUUCAAUUUUCUAAUAAUAUUUAUGCAGGUACUAGAAGUUAAAACCCUACUUACAUGGAUGCGUGGCCAUCGGUCCAAUUUUUUUUUAAAAAAAAAAAAAGAGAAAAAAAAUGUAAUCCAUGAAUUUGGUUAAUUUUCCUUUGUUUGUUUCUUUCUGUUCUUCCCCCCCUCUCAAUAUCAUUCCUUUUUGGCAGCCUAAGGACAUUUUCACAAAUACCUUUUGUGCAGAAGUCUUUUAAACCAUCAAUCAGAAGAAACAUGCUUCCAGUGAUACCUCCAAUUAUCAUUGAUGAUGUUAAGUAAAUAAGGGCACCAGCUCAGCCAUGCCAUCAUCCCCACCCCGGGAUGGAUCACCUCAGCCGAAUGGUACGAGCAGAAUACUGAUAAUGAGCCUUCUACAAACAUGGGCCGACCAGAGACAUAUACCGAGCAGAUACCCAUUCCCCAAAAAGCGGGAACACAAUCUCACGAAAUCACGGCAGUUGCGCUUUUCCCAAAAUCAUUGAGGGAGACACGGUGUCCCACGUUUACCCACAAUGUAGCAGUUGGAGUCCCAUGAGGGGCUGCCACUACCCGAGAAAGGGGGGAUGAAGGGUGAACGGAAACGUGGGACAACAGCUAUAAAAGAGGAAGAAACCAAUGAAGAGGAGGAGAAAAAACAGAGAGAGAAGGGAAAACUCUGUCAAAUUAAAACUAGACUGUUGUUCUGCAGAAACUGAGAGUGAGUCGUAAGCCAUUCCGAAAUCUAAAUUAAACCAUUUUCCCGUAAACACCUUGUGCUAACUUAGGCAUCGGAGGGUUUACGCCGGUAAAACUACCGGCGUCUCUGAUUCAUUUUUGUGAAUGCAGGCUUAGCAAGAUAAAAAGGGGUGAUUCCAACCCAGUGACGUAAGCGAUCGUUAAGGCAAGGAGAAAGUGACAUCGUUCCCAUUAAGCAUAUAAGCGUUGGUGGAAGAAUCUGGUCGGGUAAAGGGUGAGCAGAUUUCAGCAUCAACAUUUUGGCGCCGUCUGUGGGGAGCUGGAUAAAAAGCUACCACCAAAUUAGUAGUCAUCGGAGAAGCAGCGAACAAUCGAUUAUGGAUAUAUCAAGGAAGGAUGCCCUAGGUGGCGACAAUGAAACUGGUGAAACAAUCACUCUCCGAGAGAUAGCAAAUGAAGCUAGAGAGAGGAUGAUGCAAGAUCGAAUGGAACGGAUGGAGAAACAAAUGGAAACUCUCACGACCAUAUUGCAUGAGCUGAGGGAUGAGCAGAGAAGGGACUAUGAAACCCCCGUAGGGAGGGAUGAAGUUGAGGCAGAACCCAGCCUCCGGAGGCGUAGAGUCAAGGAAAUCCCUCCACCAGUAGACCAACCCUAUGGGGUGCAUCCCCAUAGAAAUAUUGGUAGGGUUCCAGUAGAGCGCGUAGAUGAAGGGAGAGACCAACCUCGCUCCGGACGAGUACUGGAAAUUGAUGGCCGAUGAGCCAAUGUUGAUGAGGGAGAGCUUAGACAGCGGUUGCAAAAUGCCGAGCAGGAGCGAGAUCAGAUAGCUGCGCGCGAUCCGGACCGUGCUGUAGAAUUGGAGGGUGAGGUGCGCAGAUUGGCGCAGGUGAUGGAGGAGAUUCAGGGCAAGAGAAAGCCCCCGAGUUGGAGGAUAAUGAUAGAUGAAGAGUCUCCGUUAUCAGCCGAGAUCAUGGGUACUUUAAUCCCAAGAGAUUUCCGCUUCCCCGACCUCAAAUACUCCGGGCGAAGUGACCCACUGGUGGAUAUUGAACGCUUCAACGACAUGACGGGUGUGCAGGAACUAACACCAGCUCAGAGGUGCAGGGUGUUCCCAUUGACACUAGAGGGAUGAGCCCAACAAUGGUACCGCAAGCUGCCACGAGGAAGUAUAAAAGGAUACGAGCAGAUGUGCCAAGAGUUGGCCGAGCAGUUCCGAGGAGCAGUAGCCCCAGAGGACGAUACGAUGGAACUGAUAGGGAUGAAGCAGAAGGAACAUGAAUCCCUUCGGGAAUUUGUAAAAUGAUACCACCGGGCCGUGCUUGAUCUGGGAGCUUUCAAUCACCCAUAGGCGUUGAGGGGAUUAAAAGAGGGCGUGAGGAUAGGCCGACUAUGGUACAACUUGAGAAGCCCCCUAGUGCAGAAUUAUUCGGCGGGGUAUGAGCAGGAGAGGAGAGAUAUAGAAAUCGAAGAGGAGAAAUCGGCGAGGAUAAAAAGUGAACAGCUGGAAGAGCUGAGACGAAAGGAAAGGAGAACCCCGAACAGGAGCGGGUCGGGAAAGCGAGCUGGGGAAUCCUCGGUGACGGGCGCAAUAUCAGCUCGGUCUUGCCCUUACCCCAUGGUUCAGAGACCGCAACAGUUCCAACACAGCCGAGCUCCACCUUCGCGCCCCCCAUUCCCGGAGCGGCAACGAGAAUUCCGGCAGUUAGCUGCCCAUCUUUAUCACAACGCCCCCAGGGCACUACAUACAGCCAACUCUAGAGCUGGGCGACCAGGUCAGCUACCUAUAAUAUCAGCUUGGGACGAUAUCCAUGAUAGCCGAGCAGUCCAGCUAAUCGACCAGAGCCUGGCAUAUAGACAAUACACCCCAUUAAAAGUCCCUAUGGAGGAGUUGUACGAGAGGAUCGAGGGACGAGGCCUGCUGUACCCUCCAGCCCUUAUAACAAAACCUGCUCACCGACGUGAUAAGAGCAUAUUCUGUAAAUUCCACGACACUCAUGGUUACACUAUCAGCCAAUGUCGCGACCUAAAGAUUCAGGUGGAGGAUUUGGUGAGGAACCGGUACCUGGAUGAAUACGUAGAUGGAGUGUCCUCCGUCAUUGAAUCACAGUACAUGCGGGAUGAAGGAGUUGAGAGGAGCCUGGAACGUGAACAGCCAACUAUCCGUGUGAUAGCAGGAGGGCCAACAUUGGCUGGGGAUUCGAACCGGGCACGGAAGAACUAUGGGAGAUACGCCAUGACAUGCAAAAAAGUGCUUUUCAAUUUGCCAGCAGCCAAGAGGGCGAAAGUGAGGCAAAUUCCCAUUAUGUGGACAGAUGACGCCGAAGUGGGUAUCUUAUAUCCUCAUGAGGAUGCACUAAUGAUUAAGGCAAUGGUGGCUGGCACAGAAUUACGGUGAAUACUGGUGGACACGGGUAACUCGGUUGACAUACUGUUUAAGUCGGCCCUAAAUGAUAUGGGAAUUUCAGACUUAAAACUAGAGCGAACGAAUACAUCCUUGAAGGGAUUUGGAGGAGGACGGUUAACCCCCAUUGAUCGCGGGGUCGCUUGCCACAAGUUGGCAAUCAGGAAAGGGGUAAGGCCGGUGAUGCAGAAAAGGAGGUGCUUUAACCAGGAAAGGUACGAGGCCAUAAAUGCCGAGGUGGAAAAGCUGUUGAAAGCAGGAUUUAUAAGGGAGGCCAAGUACCCGGAGUGGAUUUCCAAUGUAGUACUGGUAAAGAAGGCCAACGGGAAAUGGAGAAUGCGUGUGGAUUUCACAGACCUUAAUAAGGCAUGCCCGAAGGACAGUUUUCCCCUACCAAAAAUAGAUCAAUUGGUGGACUCAACAGCGGGUCACAGUCUGCUCAGCUUCAUGGAUGCCUUUUCGGGAUACAACCAGAUACCCAUAGACGAGCAGGAUGAGGAAAGCACCACCUUUAUAACUAACAUGGGUUUGUUUUGCUACAGGGUAAUGCCUUUUGGCCUGAAAAAUGCCGGAGCUACCUAUUAAAGGUUGGUGAACAAGAUUUUCAAGCCAUUGAUCGGCCACACUAUGGAGGUAUAUGUGGACGAUAUGAUCACAAAGUCUAAAGAACCGAGGGAUCAUGUGAAGCACUUGGAAGAGACCUUUGAACUGCUGAGGAAGUAUGAAAUGAAGCUGAACCCGGAGAAAUGUGCAUUUGGGGUCAGCUCAGGCAAAUUUUUGGGAUUCCUGGUGAGCCACCGAGGGAUCGAGGCCAACCCGGAAAAGAUACGGGCGGUAACAGAAAUGAGGUCCCCACGAACAGUUAAGGAGGCGCAGAACCUUACAGGGAAAUUGGCAGCAUUGAACCGAUUCAUCUCACGGGCCACAGAUAAAUGCCACCCUUUCUUCCAAACCAUAAAGAAAGGGAGAAAGAUGGAGUGGACGUCAGAAUGUGAGGAGGCGUUCGGGCAGCUGAAGGAAUAUCUGGCCCGCGCCCCGUUACUAUCAACUCCAAGAGAAGGUGACCAGCUGUUUUUGUACUUAGCAAUCUCAAAAUGGGCUACCAGCUCGGUAUUAGUCAGAGAAGAAGAAGGAAAGCAACACCCCGUAUACUACACUAGCAAGGCCCUGGUAGACGCAGAAACCAGGUAUCCGCUGAUGGAGAAAUGGGCACUAGCUCUAAUAACAGCAGCACGCAAACUUCGACCAUAUUUUCAGGCCCACCCGAUAGUUGUGAUGACUGACCAGCCUCUUCGGCAAAUGCUCCAAAAACCAGAUGCAUCGGGUCGGUUAGUAAAGUGGUCCGUGGAGCUGAGCGAAUUCGACCUAUUCUAUAGGCUCCGAGGAGCAAUCAAAGCCCAAGCUCUGGCCGAUUUUAUGGUUGACCGUGUCGAGUCAGGGGAAGAAGUUCAGGAGGAGCAACUAGUGGAACAGGAGAAUCCGAAGGGGGUGUGGAUGGUAAUGGUUGAUGGGUCACGUAGUGAACAAGGAUCCGAAGCAGGAAUCGUAAUAUGAAGUCCAGAAGGGAUCGAGAUAUCCUAUGCAGUGAAGUUUGAAUUUCAGCUCACGAACAACCAAGCUGAAUACGAAGCCUUCAUCAUUGGGCUCGGGAUCGCACAUGCACUACGAGCAGAAAAUGUAGAAAUCCGAGCAGAUUCCCAAUUAGUCUGUAAUCAGCUCAGUGAUCAAUUCCAAGUAAGAGAAGAAAAGAUGGGGCUUUAUUUGAAGAAGGCAAAGCAAAUGGUCGGGCUCUUCCAAGAGGUAGAGAUAAAGCAGAUAUUCCGAAACGAGAAUUACCGAGCGGACAUGUUGGCCAGAAUGGCCGCAGUUGUGGAUCCAAAGUUAUCCAAGUCAGUUCCACCUGAUCCCUCUGCUCUUUGUCCCCCUGGUCGGACUCAGCCAUAUAUUUCUGCACUCCAGCCUCCAGCUUGCUCAUAUUAAGCACAAAUAUGAUGCACUUAUAGCAGAAAGUAACCCCAGAGUUAUACUCUGCAUCCAGCCGAUCAUCCACAUCAGCAAAUUUGCCUUUCACCUCGGCCAACUGCUCACUCAGAGAUUUGAUUUCUCCCUCAAGGGUCGUCUUCAAGGUAUCUCGCUCACUUUGGGUGGCCUGAAGAUCAGACUUCAGAUCACCUAACUCACCCUCGAGCUUGGUGGUGGUGGACUCAGCCAUGGCCACUUUCUCCUCCAGGUCCAUGAUUUGCUUGUGCAGAUCAAGCAACUUUUCCUUCGAGCAGUCAGCAGACUCAACAUUUUUCUUCAAGUCCUGGUUGUCAUCUUGAAGCUUCCUCUCAUGGCGCAUGGACCUAUUCUUGUAGCACGAAACCAGGGUGGCUAGCUUAAAGGAGACCAUUUAAACGGAACCAGCUAACUCGGCGAGGUUCAUACUCUCGAUGUCCUUCACCAUCUUGGGUCCCACCGAUUUACCGUAAUCCCUCUGGUACGGGCUCAGGUAAUCACCUUGAUCCCGAGAUGGAAGAGGAAAGGAUCGGUUCCCGGACUGAAUGCUGACCUCAUGACUCUUAUCACUCACCUUCUCCCCACCAUUUUUCCGAGGUGGAGGAGGGGGCAGAGCGGGAACAUAAGCCUUGGGUGAACCAGUAUGGGCCUUUUUCGGAGGAGGAGGAAGGUUGUUGGAGCUGCUUGUACCCCAACCACGCUUUUUGGUCAUGGCGCUGAGGAUCUUGUUAUCCAUUCCGGCAGCUACGUCCACUAAACGCAAACCGACCAGAUUUGUUGAUGACAAGAGAUCUUGGCAGGUAGACGCGUUCACCAAAGCAGUCUCCACAUGGAGCAAGGGUCUGUCUUCAAGCUCCUUGAUCAAACCCCACGACUCUGAAAGAGCAAACAAGGUUAAAGAACCCAAUAAGUGACGAUUGGAGAAAAGAAAAUAGGCAAUAAAUAAACGACCUGGGGUGACAAAGCGCGUUGGAAGGUGAAUAUCACCACCAAGCGAAUGGGCUGCUGGACACCAAUUUCCUCCAGCAAAUAAGAAUUUUUUCUUCCAAUUUUUACAUGAGGAAAUAAAUCUGGUGAUCGGCUUCCUCUUUGCAGAGCUUGACAUGAAGUAGUACUAGCCUGCUUCUUUUGGGCUACUCCGCAGCUGGUACAAAUGCUUUACCUCAACAAGGGAGGGUUCCUCUGAUCCGCACCUCUCCCAUAGCACAUACAUAGCUGAGAGAACUCUCCACCCAUUUGGGUGUAGCUGACCUGGAGCCAGGUGCAUACCACCCAAUAUCUUGGCAAAAUAACGCUGAAGGGGCAACCGAGCUCCUAAUUUGAAACUCUCCAGAUGCAUCGUCACAUACCCCCUCGGAGGUCGGCUAGGAACGUCAUCUUUCCCGGGGAUUACAAGGAGAACCUCUUCAGGUAUGUUAUAGAGGGUUCUAAGCUUGAGCAGGUCAGUUGGGGUGGUAGCACAAGCUAUAUAGUCGAUAGGGUAAGAAUCUGCCUCCACUCUAUGGCAAAGGUUUCUCUACUUAGGGGGUCUGCUCGGCUCAGAACUGCUCCCCUCACCAUCACCCACUUCUUCAAGGACCCCAGCCCCACCAGAACUAUGGUUCUCACCAGAGCCCGAUGCGGGUCCACCUCGGUUUCCUACAAGCUCUAAUUCAGGGGAAGGAGAAGUGACCAUAGGACGAGGGUAUUCAGGAGUAUCCCUGUAAUAGGAGGGACCUACAUUGCGAGAAGCGUAUAGAGGAUCACUGGGUCCAAACAGAUGGGGAUAGGAAUCCUCUAUCUCUUCAUCACUCUCAUCUACAAUUAUUUUUCCCUUCCGGUUUGACAUAUUGAAGUUUAAAAAGGGAAAGCACAAAAUAUCCAAAUGUAUGGGUACAAAAAAGGGACAAAUACAGAACCCACAAUACAAAACCCAAUCAACAACAACCAGAGAAGGGGUUAAAGGCUAUACCUGGAAUAGGCUGGCACGGAUAGCGCUGUCGUGACAAAGAAAGAACCCAGCAAGUGGAGGCUCCGGAUGCGGGAAGUGUGAGCAAAGUUCAAAGAAGGAGUUGGCUUACGGAGGAGAGACGAAUAAUAAAACGAUGAUGAUUCAGUCUAGGGAUUUGAAACGAAAAGGGGAAAAUGGAAGCGGGAUGCCAGCUCACUCACCAUAUAUCGAGGAUGGAUAGCCUGUCGUUUUAAAUUUCAAAUACGAAGAGUCGGGAAGCGCCACGUCACUAACCGUCAUAAGAGGCCUGACGAGACGUACGCCCAAGUAUAUACUAGAUAUAUUCAUGAAGGCCCAUACUCGGGCCAAAAUCUCCUUAGACAAGAAAUGGAACCUCCGAUCCACCACAAUAAUGCGAGGACCAGAUGGGUAGUUCCCAGGAUCGGUAAAAUCCGAUUAUCAGUUUCUACUCUCAACUCAUUUCACUCGCAAGACCAGAAACUAGGGGACUGGUGUUAAGUAAAUAAGGGCACCAGCUCAGCCAUGCCAUCAUCCCCACCCCGGGGUGGAUCACCUCAGCCGAAUGGUACGAGCAGAAUACUGAUAAUGAGCCUUCUACAAACAUGGGCCGACCAGAGACAUAUACCGAGCAGAUACCCAUUCCCCAAAAAACGGGAACACAAUCUCACGAAAUCACGACAGUUGCGCUUUUCCCAGAACCAUUGAGGGAGACACGGUGUCCCACGUUUACCCACAAUGUAGCAGUUGGAGUCCCAUGAGGGGCUGCCACUACCCGAGAAAGGGGGGAUGAAGGGUGAACGAAAACGUGGGACAACGGCUAUAAAAGAGGAAGAAACCAAUGAAGAGGAGGAGAAAAAACAGAGAGAGAAGGGAAAACUCUGCCAAAUUAAAACUAGACUGUUGUUCUGCAGAAACUGAGAGUGAGUCGUAAGCCAUUCCGAAAUCUAAAUUGAACCGUUUUCCUGUAAACACCUUGUGCUAACUUAGGCAUCGGAGGGUUUACGCCGGUAAAACUACCGGCGUCUCUGAUCCAUUUUUGUGAACGCAAGCUUAGCAAGAUAAAAAAGGGUGAUUCCAACCCAGUGACGUAAGCGAUCGUUAAGGCAAGGAGAAAGUGAUAUCGUUCCCAUUAAGCAUAUAAGCGUUGGUGGAAGAAUCUGGUCGGGUAAAGGGCGAGCAGAUUUCAGCAUCAACAGGGGAAAAAGUCUAAAUAGUAUUUUUGACCUCCUACUUUAACUAAAUAACAUUUCUUGAAAGUCACUGGCUCUUAAAAUUUAAUUAAGAAGAUAUUAUAGAUUUAUAAACCCUUAAAAUUUAUUUGCAAGUAACAAUUAGAGAAAAGUCGUCAUGCCCAUACGACUUACUAAAAGUCGUCAACUCGUCAUGACCAAAAUUCUUCCGAGUGUGAAAUACGGCAUUAUGCAGAUGCAUUAAAAACAAAAGCCAGCUAAGAUAUUCUUUGUAUACUUGCAUUCCCUAUCAUCUUAUUAAUAAUUUCAGACACGUCGUUCGUUCCCUGUGACUUUUCAUAUGAAAAAGCACAGUCAGUGUUACAAUUUACAUUUCGAAUUGGGUGUCAUCUAUAUACUCUAGCUAGAUCUAACAUGAUAUUGCAGUAUUGCACUGAUUUUUUUGUCGCAGAGUUUCUCUAUGAAUGCCUAAAAGUUAAAGACACGUCAUGGAAUAAUUAUUUUCUUAAAGACCAAAUUAACAUAAUUCUUGACUCAUUUAUAAAACAACAUUUAUCAUAUAACAGCUCAUAUAUGAAUCAAUUACCUUGAGCAGUAGCAAACAAACAAGAAUCUCAACCACAUCACGAGAUCGCCCACGUACUGUUAUCCAAAACAACAUUGUUAUAAUUAUCAUAAUCCCUUCUGACCUUAACAAUAAUUCUAUUCGUCCUUUCAUAGGUAUAAGUAUCCCAAAAUAUACCUGAUGUCAACCUUUACAAUUCUUUAGAGAAUUGCAGCAGACCAAAAGAAAGAUUUUAAUAAUUUGUAUGCAAAACUGAAAUCAUACAGUAAUUGAUACAGUGAGAAUAGACAUGCUGGGAAUUAGUAUAUAUGAAUAUCUUAAUAAUUUAAAAGUUUCUUAAACUGAUUUUACAUAUCUGAAAAAUUAUAGAAAUCGGAACAGCUGCAGAAAUCAUAAUUUUCCAGCGAAUGUGUUACAAAUUCGGAAAUUCAUAAGUAAUUAAAUUCUUGGGAUCACAUAAUAAUUCAAUAGAAAGCUUAAGAUGUCUAGUUUAUAAAAUGAGAUGUAUGGAAUUUUUUUUUUUCAAUGAUAUGUAUGGAAUUUAAGAGAUUCAGCAGUACUUUCAUUAUAUUAAUUCUUCAAAAAAUCAUGUUGCAAACAAUCACCAAUCUAACAUUCAACAAAAUUAAGUCGUAAAAAUCAUGUGGUUUAUUAAAAGAAUUACCUCAAACAGAUUAGCCUUCCCCUUUCAAAAGCAGCGUGAAACUCCAAAAACUCUUCUUCCAUAACCCAUUCAAACAUGAAGAAACAAAUUAGUAUCUCUUCUUUAAAUGCGCGAUGUGUGUGCCCUGUUUUCUCUCUUAUUCUUUUUCUUUUUUAGAUUUUGAAAAUGCAAAGAAUGCAGGAGUCCUUAUUUUCUUAAACAAGACUCAAUUAAAUUAAAUUAUGGCCUAAUGCUGUGUCAAUUCCAUCAUCAGUAUUUUUUUUUUCCUUGUAACAUAAUCCAUAUUUGGACAAUUUGAA
This 15633-nucleotide long non-coding RNA is filed under the name Citrus maxima (pomelo). Its description in RNAcentral is "long non-coding RNA (CMAX_LNC000237)". The record is from RNAcentral. Lineage: Eukaryota; Viridiplantae; Streptophyta; Magnoliopsida; Sapindales; Rutaceae.